CAACAACAACAACAACAACAACACGCCUUUGAUCUGCCCAUAGCACAGUCUGACAACAAGCAAAAUGACAAGAGGGCGCACAAUAACGUAUACAACCGAGACCAGACUGCACAUUCCCAUCCUUUAAUGGUUCCUCGAUAUUUUCACGAAUGUUUUCGACAGUCGAUAGAUCUUUUCCAACGGCUGCCCGGUCCUUAACGACAUCUACCCCUGUUCGCGAGAUCUAACUUUAUUUGAAUGAUCUAACCAUAGUUACUCAGAGAGACUUAAUUCUACUCACACGAGUUCUGCACAACAUCAGAUCACUUUUAGAUAACCCACAUUCAAGAAAAUGUACUACCUCUGCAUGAUCUCCACAUUCAAGAACAAGUACUACCCUGUAGGCUGCAUGAUCUAACCAUGCUUAACUUAGAGAGACUUAACUAAACUCACAUUAUCACACAGGAUAAUUAUUUUCAUGCAUUAGCGAGAAAUGGUAUAAAGUAGAGCAUAGAGGUUUAAUAUCAAGAUUGUGUUGUCAUCUCACUCGAUUGAAUAAGGGACAAGUUAUUAUUUAUGGG
This is a non-coding RNA of Paramuricea clavata, 560 nucleotides long. The record is from the annotation of a GenBank genome assembly. NCBI's taxonomy places the organism in Eukaryota, Metazoa, Cnidaria, Anthozoa, Malacalcyonacea, Plexauridae.